Molecule: long non-coding RNA, 301 nt
Filed under: Elaeis guineensis (African oil palm)
Lineage: Eukaryota; Viridiplantae; Streptophyta; Magnoliopsida; Arecales; Arecaceae
Description: long non-coding RNA (EGUI_LNC044104)
Source: RNAcentral
CUUCUAGUAAUUUAUUUUGCCCCAAAACCUAAUCAGUAGGCUUUGGCCUCCACUGAAAAGAUCUGGUUAGGUCCAACCAUUAACAUGACUUGAUUUGGUGAAUCUGACCAAUAAAUGAUCAGGCCCGACUUUGGCCGGCCAACCUAACCACCAUCAGAAAGACUCAACCAAAUUAUCAUACUAUGAAUGAUAAUUCCAUUAGUCAAUAAGCAGCAGGUCUUUGGGCCUCCAAUGAUUAUUAAACUAAUGGACUCAUUAUCACUCACUUAAUGGGAGGCUAUGACUUAGUUAUCACUAUAAC